GCGGAGGAAAAGAAACCAACAGGGAUUGCCCUAGUAACGGCGAGUGAAGCGGCAUCAGCUCAAAUUUGAAAUCUGGCUCUUUCAGGGUCCGAGUUGUAAUUUGCAGAGGGCGCUUUGGUGUUGGCAGCGGUCCAAGUUCCUUGGAACAGGACGUCACAGAGGGUGAGAAUCCCGUACGUGGUCGCUGGCCUUCGCCGUGUAAAGCCCCUUCGACGAGUCGAGUUGUUUGGGAAUGCAGCUCUAAAUGGGAGGUAAAUUUCUUCUAAAGCUAAAUACUGGCCAGAGACCGAUAGCGCACAAGUAGAGUGAUCGAAAGAUGAAAAGCACUUUGGAAAGAGAGUCAAAUAGCACGUGAAAUUGUUGAAAGGGAAGCGCUUGCAGCCAGACUUGCCUGUAGUUGCUCAUCUAGGCUCUUUGCCUAGUGCACUCUUCUGCGGGCAGGCCAGCAUCAGUCUAGGCGGUUGGAUAAAGGCCUCUGUCAUGUACCUCCUCUCGGGGAGGCCUUAUAGGGGAGGCGUAAUGCAACCAGCCUGGACUGAGGUCCGCGCAUCUGCUAGGAUGCUGGCGUAAUGGCUGUAAGCGGCCCGUC
Molecule: small RNA, 589 nt
Filed under: Neocucurbitaria cava
Lineage: Eukaryota; Fungi; Ascomycota; Dothideomycetes; Pleosporales; Cucurbitariaceae
Description: eukaryotic LSU rRNA
Rfam family: Eukaryotic large subunit ribosomal RNA
Source: RNAcentral